RNAcentral lists this ribosomal RNA (253 nucleotides) under uncultured bacterium. RNAcentral's name for it is "partial 16S ribosomal RNA". It matches the Rfam family "Bacterial small subunit ribosomal RNA", at positions 524 to 776 of the family's 1533-position model. The record is from RNAcentral.
UACGUAGGUGGCAAGCGUUGUCCGGAUUUACUGGGCGUAAAGAGCGCGCAGGCGGUCGUUCAAGUCGGGUGUGAAAGCCCCCGGCUCAACUGGGGAGGGUCACGCGAUACUGAUCGACUGGAAGGCAGGAGAGGGUAGUGGAAUUCCCGGUGUAGUGGUGAAAUGCGUAGAUAUCGGGAGGAACACCAGUGGCGAAGGCGACUACCUGGCCUGUUCUUGACGCUGAGGCGCGAAAGCUAGGGGAGCAAACGGG